ACUUGAGCAAGGUUUUAUUCCUUAGAACAUGUCAAAAGUGGCGUUAGUCCUCAAGAGAUCUGCAGAAGCCAAAGAGUUAUAUCCCAGGAGGAAAGCAGACACAGUGGGAUUCAUUAAACAGCCCACUCAGGCACUCGCUUUAUGGAGACAUCAAAGACAUCGACAGCAAUGCUGAAAGGUUUGAUGCCGAAUGUUCACAAGGAACCAAAAAUUCUUUGCCAGGGGGCCUGAACCCUUUAAUAACUUCAGUAUCUGUAUAUAUAGACUGUAGAGGUGCGUAGUUUGAAGGAUGC
Molecule: long non-coding RNA, 293 nt
Filed under: Scleropages formosus (Asian bonytongue)
Lineage: Eukaryota; Metazoa; Chordata; Actinopteri; Osteoglossiformes; Osteoglossidae
Description: lncRNA (ENSSFOG00015033011.1)
Source: RNAcentral